This 823-nucleotide ribosomal RNA is filed under the name uncultured bacterium. Its description in RNAcentral is "bacterial SSU rRNA". It matches the Rfam family "Bacterial small subunit ribosomal RNA", at positions 62 to 890 of the family's 1533-position model. The record is from RNAcentral.
UCGAGGGGUAUAGUAGCAAUACUUAGAGACCGGCGCACGGGUGAGUAACGCGUAUGCAACCUGCCCUUUACUGGAGGAUAGCCCGUAGAAAUGCGGAUUAAUACCCCAUAGUAAUGUUGGAUCGCAUGAUCUGGCAUUUAAAGUUUCGGCGGUAAAGGAUGGGCAUGCGUGACAUUAGCUAGUUGGAGAGGUAACGGCUCACCAAGGCUUCGAUGUCUAGGGGUUCUGAGAGGAAGAUCCCCCACACUGGUACUGAGACACGGACCAGACUCCUACGGGAGGCAGCAGUGAGGAAUAUUGGUCAAUGGGCGAGAGCCUGAACCAGCCAUCCCGCGUGCAGGAAGAAUGCCCUAUGGGUUGUAAACUGCUUUUUCGCAUGAAGAACACCCCUGACGUGUCAGGGGCUGACGGUAAUGCGUGAAUAAGCACCGGCUAACUCCGUGCCAGCAGCCGCGGUAAUACGGAGGGUGCAAGCGUUAUCCGGAUUUAUUGGGUUUAAAGGGUGCGUAGGCGGCUAUUUAAGUCAGUGGUGAAAUCCUGCAGCUUAACUGUAGAACAGCCAUUGAAACUGAAUAGCUUGAGUGAUCUUGAGGUAGGCGGAAUGUGUAGUGUAGCGGUGAAAUGCUUAGAUAUUACACAGAACACCGAUUGCGAAGGCAGCUUACUAAGGAUUUACUGACGCUGAUGCACGAAAGCGUGGGGAUCAAACAGGAUUAGAUACCCUGGUAGUCCACGCCGUAAACGAUGAUAACUCGCUGUUGGCGAUACACAGUCAGCGGCUUAGCGAAAGCGUUAAGUUAUCCACCUGGGGAGUACGCUCGCA